CACGCAGUUAGCCGGGGCUUCUUAGUCAGGUACCGUCAUUUUCUUCCCUGCUGAUAGAGCUUUACAUACCGAAAUACUUCAUCGCUCACGCGGCGUCGCUGCAUCAGGGUUUCCCCCAUUGUGCAAUAUUCCCCACUGCUGCCUCCCGUAGGAGUCUGGGCCGUGUCUCAGUCCCAAUGUGGCCGUCCACCCUCUCAGGCCGGCUACUGAUCGUCGGCUUGGUGGGCCGUUACCCCACCAACUACCUAAUCAGACGCGGGUCCAUCUUACACCACCUCAGUUUUUACCACUGUACCAUGCAGUACUGUGGUCUUAUGCGGUAUUAGCAGUCAUUUCUAACUGUUAUCCCCCUGUGUAAGGCAGGUUACCCACGCGUUACUCACCCGUCCGCCGCUCAGUCACAAAAGCCUUCCUCCGAAGAUUCUGACUUAAGCGCUUCGCUCGACUUGCAUGUGUUAGCACGCCGCCAGCGUUCAUCCUGAGCCAGGAUACAACUCUACG
Molecule: ribosomal RNA, 501 nt
Filed under: uncultured Dorea sp.
Lineage: Bacteria; Bacillati; Bacillota; Clostridia; Lachnospirales; Lachnospiraceae
Description: partial 16S ribosomal RNA
Source: RNAcentral